UACAGAGGUCUCAAGCGUUGUUCGGAUUCAUUGGGCGUAAAGGGUGCGUAGGUGGCAUGGUAAGUCGGAUGUGAAAUCCCGGGGCUUAACUCCGAAACUGCAUUCGAUACUGCCGUGCUUGAGGACUGGAGAGGAGACUGGAAUUUACGGUGUAGCGGUGAAAUGCGUAGAUAUCGUAAGGAAGACCAGUGGCGAAGGCGGGUCUCUGGACAGUUCCUGACGCUGAGGCACGAAGGUCAGGGGAGCAAACGGG
RNAcentral lists this ribosomal RNA (253 nucleotides) under uncultured bacterium. Its description in RNAcentral is "partial 16S ribosomal RNA". It matches the Rfam family "Bacterial small subunit ribosomal RNA", at positions 524 to 776 of the family's 1533-position model. The record is from RNAcentral.